RNAcentral lists this ribosomal RNA (254 nucleotides) under uncultured bacterium. RNAcentral's name for it is "partial 16S ribosomal RNA". It matches the Rfam family "Bacterial small subunit ribosomal RNA", at positions 524 to 776 of the family's 1533-position model. The record is from RNAcentral.
CACGUAGGGGGCAAGCGUUGUCCGGAUUUAUUGGGCGUAAAGAGCUCGUAGGCGGUCUGUCGCGUCUGCUGUGAAAACUCGGGGCUUAACCCCGGGCCUGCAGUGGGUACGGGCAGACUAGAGUGCGGUAGGGGAGACUGGAAUUCCGUGGUGUAGCGGUGAAAUGCGCAGAUAUCAGGAGGAACACCGGUGGCGAAGGCGGGUCUCUGGGCCGUAACUGACGCUGAGGAGCGAAAGCAUGGGGAGCGAACAGG